AUUGAACGCUGGCGGCACGCUUAACACAUGCAAGUCGAACGGUAACAGGCCCCUUCGGGGUGCUGACGAGUGGCGGACGGGUGAGUAAUGCUUAGGAAUCUGCCUAGUAGUGGGGGAUAACCCGGGGAAACUCGGGCUAAUACCGCAUACACCCUACGGGGGAAAGCGGGGGACUUUCGGCCUCGCGCUAUUAGAUGAGCCUAAGUCCGAUUAGCUAGUUGGUAGGGUAAUGGCCUACCAAGGCGACGANCGGUAGCUGGUCUGAGAGGACGACCAGCCA
This 280-nucleotide ribosomal RNA is filed under the name uncultured bacterium. RNAcentral's name for it is "partial 16S ribosomal RNA". It matches the Rfam family "Bacterial small subunit ribosomal RNA", at positions 30 to 310 of the family's 1533-position model. The record is from RNAcentral.